This 240-nucleotide ribosomal RNA is filed under the name uncultured bacterium. RNAcentral's name for it is "partial 16S ribosomal RNA". It matches the Rfam family "Bacterial small subunit ribosomal RNA", at positions 96 to 334 of the family's 1533-position model. The record is from RNAcentral.
UGGCGAACGGGUGAGUAACGCGUGAGGAACCUGCCUCAAAGAGGGGGACAACAGUUGGAAACGACUGCUAAUACCGCAUAAGCCCACGGCUCGGCAUCGAGCAGAGGGAAAAGGAGCAAUCCGCUUUGAGAUGGCCUCGCGUCCGAUUAGCUAGUUGGUGAGGUAACGGCCCACCUAGUCUUCGAUGGAUAGGGGUUCUGAGAGGAAGGUCCCCCACAUUGGAACUGAGACACGGUCCGA